GCUAUCCUGGAAGAGCUCCCGGCUUCUGGCUUCUCUAGGCUUUGUACUGCUGGGUGAACUUCUGCCGGCGGACAAAGCAACAGGUGGCCAGAGUGGUGAGGAGGACAGCAGAGACCAGCACAAAGGUCAAGCCAGGCCAGCUGAUACUCAGCCCGGGGCUCUGGGGCCGUCUGGAAGGCCUCAAUACUGUUGCAGCUCAGGUCAAGCACACGCAGCUGUUGGAGGCUAAAGUCAGAGAUGCAGGCAGCCCAGUGACAGUGUCGGCUCCUACCACCUCCAGUGAAGCAGUUUCCUUGAGGCCUCAGAGACCCACGGAUACCCCUGCCAUCGAGCGCCCCCGUGAACCAGAAACCUAGCCCCUAACCCUGCCACCUUGCCAGCCCUGCCUGUCUCUUGCCCCCUCCUCCCUCACACCCUCUCUGCCAGCUGCAGCCAUUAGGAAUGGCUUCAUCCCCAUCCUCAGCUUCCUGGACCAUCUCGACUUCAGGAAGAAACAGCAAAAGGAACACAAUGACCACCGCCAUCACAGAGCGCUAGCUCUGUGGCAGGCCCCACGGCUGAGUGCACAGACCCCUUGCCUCAUUUAUUUACCCUGAUAUACCCCCUAAGGAAGCUGAGGCUCGGGGGUGGGGGGCGAUGAACUUCCCCCAGCUCUGACGGUCAGAAGCUCCAGGGCACCCGUGUGAGUUCCUUUUCCUGUUGGUGCCGGCUGAGUUCUGACCACUGGCCCCCAGCUGACU
Long non-coding RNA from Suricata suricatta (meerkat), 740 nucleotides. RefSeq lists it as uncharacterized. The record is from RefSeq and is a predicted model, not a curated record. Lineage: Eukaryota; Metazoa; Chordata; Mammalia; Carnivora; Herpestidae. The transcript has 3 exons.